RNAcentral lists this long non-coding RNA (255 nucleotides) under Malus domestica (apple). RNAcentral's name for it is "long non-coding RNA (MDOM_LNC017336)". Lineage: Eukaryota; Viridiplantae; Streptophyta; Magnoliopsida; Rosales; Rosaceae. The record is from RNAcentral.
UACCAAAGCCCAGUUCCGUGAAUAGUGUUGGCGCUACAGUUCCGUGAACAAUGAACUGCUACAGUAUCUGUGAACGGUAUUGUACCUGUGAACAGUGCAGUAUUUGUGAAUAGUGCCGAGUAGAUGGAUGGAGAUAAAGAUGAAUCUAUAAAGAAGGGGUCAGCAUCGUCUUCAUCCAAUAGACAUCCAACUACUACUACAAGGUUAGAGGUUGAUAAAUUCAAUGGCUCUAAUAAUUUUGGUAUGUGGCAAUGU